RNAcentral lists this ribosomal RNA (485 nucleotides) under Arthrobacter sp. JA10. Its description in RNAcentral is "bacterial SSU rRNA". It matches the Rfam family "Bacterial small subunit ribosomal RNA", at positions 53 to 551 of the family's 1533-position model. Lineage: Bacteria; Bacillati; Actinomycetota; Actinomycetes; Micrococcales; Micrococcaceae. The record is from RNAcentral.
ACAUGCAAGUCGAACGAUGAUGCCCACUUGUGGGUGGAUUAGUGGCGAACGGGUGAGUAACACGUGAGUAACCUGCCCUUAACUCUGGGAUAAGCCUGGGAAACUGGGUCUAAUACCGGAUAUGACUCCUCAUCGCAUGGUGGGGGGUGGAAAGCUUUAUUGUGGUUUUGGAUGGACUCGCGGCCUAUCAGCUUGUUGGUGAGGUAAUGGCUCACCAAGGCGACGACGGGUAGCCGGCCUGAGAGGGUGACCGGCCACACUGGGACUGAGACACGGCCCAGACUCCUACGGGAGGCAGCAGUGGGGAAUAUUGCACAAUGGGCGAAAGCCUGAUGCAGCGACGCCGCGUGAGGGAUGACGGCCUUCGGGUUGUAAACCUCUUUCAGUAGGGAAGAAGCGAAAGUGACGGUACCUGCAGAAGAAGCGCCGGCUAACUACGUGCCAGCAGCCGCGGUAAUACGUAGGGCGCAAGCGUUAUCCGGAAU